Molecule: ribosomal RNA, 550 nt
Filed under: uncultured bacterium
Lineage: Bacteria
Description: bacterial SSU rRNA
Rfam family: Bacterial small subunit ribosomal RNA
Source: RNAcentral
AACGUGCCUUUCACUACGGAAUAGUCCCGGGAAACUGGGUUUAAUACCGUAUACGCCCUUCGGGGGAAAGAAUUUCGGUGAGAGAUCGGCCCGCGUCUGAUUAGGUAGUUGGUGGGGUAAUGGCCUACCAAGCCGACGAUCAGUAGCUGGUUUGAGAGGAUGAUCAGCCACACUGGGACUGAGACACGGCCCAGACUCCUACGGGAGGCAGCAGUGAGGAAUCUUGGACAAUGGGGGCAACCCUGAUCCAGCCAUGCCGCGUGAACGAUGAAGGCCUUAGGGUUGUAAAGUUCUUUCAACGGUGAAGAUAAUGACGGUAGCCGUAGAAGAAACCCCGGCUAACUCCGUGCCAGCAGCCGCGGUAAUACGGAGGGGGUUAGCGUUGUUCGGAAUUACUGGGCGUAAAGCGCACGUAGGCGGACUAUUAAGUCAGGGGUGAAAUCCCGGGGCUCAACCCCGGAACUGCCUUUGAUACUGGUAGUCUAGAGUUCGAGAGAGGUGAGUGGAAUUCCGAGUGUAGAGGUGAAAUUCGUAGAUAUUCGGAGGAACA